CUUGAGCGAGCCGAGCCACAGCGGCCGGUCACGGUCGCGGCCGUAGGUCGCGAGCAGCGCCUGGGCCUC
This 69-nucleotide antisense RNA is filed under the name Streptomyces sp. MBRL 601. RNAcentral describes it as "ASpks sRNA". It matches the Rfam family "ASpks TB sRNA". The record is from RNAcentral. Lineage: Bacteria; Bacillati; Actinomycetota; Actinomycetes; Kitasatosporales; Streptomycetaceae.